RNAcentral lists this ribosomal RNA (450 nucleotides) under uncultured bacterium. RNAcentral's name for it is "partial 16S ribosomal RNA". It matches the Rfam family "Bacterial small subunit ribosomal RNA", at positions 338 to 795 of the family's 1533-position model. The record is from RNAcentral.
CCUACGGGGGGCUGCAGUAGGGAAUCUUCCGCAAUGGACGAAAGUCUGACGGAGCAACGCCGCGUGAGUGAAGAAGGUUUUCGGAUCGUAAAACUCUGUUGUCAGAGAAGAACAAGUUGGAGAGUAACUGCUCCAGCCUUGACGGUAUCUGACCAGAAAGCCCGGGCUAACUACGUGCCAGCAGCCGCGGUAAUACGUAGGUGGCAAGCGUUGUCCGGAUUUAUUGGGGGCGAUUCGUGCGCAGUGAUUUGAAAGCCCACGGCUAAACCGUGGAAGGGCAUUGGAAACUGGGGAACUUGAGUGCAGAAGAGGAGAGUGGAAUUCCAUGUGUAGCGGUGAAAUGCGUAGAUAUAUGGAGGAACACCAGUGGCGAAGGCGACUCUCUGGUCUGUAACUGACGCUGAGGCUCGAAAGCGUGGGGAGCAAACAGGAUUAGAUACCCGAGUAGUC